Long non-coding RNA from Triplophysa dalaica, 636 nucleotides. RefSeq lists it as uncharacterized. The record is from RefSeq and is a predicted model, not a curated record. Lineage: Eukaryota; Metazoa; Chordata; Actinopteri; Cypriniformes; Nemacheilidae. The transcript is spliced from 3 exons.
UCAUUUUUUUGCAUAAUUGUGCUUCAACAGAGGUUAUUUUUUAAAUAGUAUUGUGCCGUUUACAUUGCUUGUAACGGCAGGAUGUACACUCUAAAAAAUGCUGGGUUAUUUGUUUAACCCAACAGCUGGGUUGAGCCUGUUGGGUCAUUUUGUUGGGUUAUUUUCUUAGUGUUGGGUCAUUUUUUGAGUAACCCAAACGCUGGGUUACCAGUCUGGUCCAAUUGAGUGACAGUUGAGAGAGUAAACCCCCCCACUCCUCUACGCAUCAGACAAACUUUACCUUCGCGGGCAUUUUGAUCCACUUCAUCUCGGAAAGCUGUUAUUCGGAGAAUAAAAGAUCCCACUCUUCUUUUUUCCCCCACUGACAGCGUGCAGAAUAACAGCUAAUAUUAAUGGAUCAUUCUAUUCAAGAGAAUGUCAACUGGAACUUGGAUGUUUUCAUAACAGGCUUAAAGAUGAACAAAUUGAUAAAGAAACCCUCCUGCUGGACAUCCAAUUCCAAAAGUGCACGCCACACUGUUGUCUACAACUCCCAGGAAAAGAAUCCUCUUUAGUAAGACUGCUCCGUGGAUAUUUUAGGUUAAGCAGUGCUGAAACCGAACGAACUAACACUAUUUAAAAUGUUUUGUGAGUUUA